This 247-nucleotide unclassified non-coding RNA is filed under the name fungal sp. Its description in RNAcentral is "partial internal transcribed spacer region". The stretch from base 1 to 46 matches the Rfam family "Eukaryotic small subunit ribosomal RNA", at positions 1786 to 1831 of the family's 1831-position model. Lineage: Eukaryota; Fungi. The record is from RNAcentral.
AAGUCGUAACAAGGUAUCCGUAGGUGAACCUGCGGAUGGAUCAUUAAGAGGUUAGCAAACACAACCCUGUUUGGCAGACCACUGUGGUGCGAUGAGUGUUGUUUUGGCGGCGACGUUGCGUGCGCGAGCAUGCAUGCGCCGCCAGCAUACAAACCGAUAAUACCUUUCAUUAGUUGGCUGUUUGAUUGCACUAUCCGCGCGAUAGCAUAAUCUGAUACAACUGCUAGCAACGGAUCACUCGGCUCUC